Molecule: long non-coding RNA, 1398 nt
Filed under: Canis lupus familiaris (dog)
Lineage: Eukaryota; Metazoa; Chordata; Mammalia; Carnivora; Canidae
Description: lncRNA (ENSCAFG00000056994.1)
Source: RNAcentral
CAACUGUACUUUAGGCGGACGUGGAAAGGCAGACUCAUAGCUGGGCUUUUAUUUUGGGUUCUGUGGCCCAGAAGCCCGGGGGGUGAAGGAGUGGCGAUGGAGGCCGGACGGGAAACUCCGAGCCCUUUCCGGAAGCUGCCCCGCCCCCUGGGUGAGUGUCAGCUCCCACGCACUACAAUUCCCAGCAUGCUAUUCGAGCAAGUCCGGAGGCGGAGCCAAAGUGUCGCCAUAGCAACUGAGUCCACUCCCUCUCCCGGAUGUCUCCAGAAUUUCGAAUUGAGUUAAGAUGAACAGAAGUCAAAAGAAAAGAAGAUGGGAAACACUGAGGAAAUUAAAUGUCAUUUAAAUUGUCAACGUUUGUUUACCUGAGACUGUAACUGAGGGAGAAGGAAGAGGGUCAGAAUUGAGUUACAAGAAGUAGCUUCAUACCAUUUCUAUCUUUAAAGGAUCAAACUUGAUAAGGACUCUAGAAUGUUUCCUUGACCAUCUGAGGAAGGGGAAUUUGGCCUCUAAGUCUCCUCUGUCACACUAGAGUUUAGGCACUUAAUGAUCAGCUGGUAAUCAUCAGGCAUUGGGGAAACUAAAAUGAACAUGCCUGACUAAAUCUUAUGACUUUAAUUCCAGAAUGUUAAAUCUUUUAAAAUAAACAGAAUAUUACAGCUACAUUAAGCCUUUCCUAUAUGAAGUCAGGCAUAGAGAUUUCCCAUAUGAAGUCAGGCAUAGAGAUUUCCCAAUAAAGUAUUUUAGAAGUUUCCCAGAUACUAUUAAGGCCCUUGACAGAGUAACGUGCAGAAUGAUGUCAGACUUGUCAAAUGUUUUGAUAAAACAGGACCUUCGGAUGCAAUGAUAAAUUUGGCCAUUGUAUAAAUCCGUCAAGAGUUUUUGAAAAACUGUGUAAACUGAAGAUGGCAGAGCAUAUUCCACCUCAUUAACAAAAGAAAACAGUAAGCAGUGUUCUCUGUUGCCAUCAUGUUACUACCCUGCUCAAAAGCCUCCUGUCUAUCCCUAUUUCUUAGAGAAGCAUCUCCCCAAAUCUGUGCGUGGAACACUGGUAUUCUGUAAGACGGUAAUAGAUCUUACUGAAAAAUAGAUGCCUGUGGAAAAAUGUUUUUCUAAAAUGUAUUUUAAGAUCAGUCUAUGUUAGGAAACUUCUAAACAUUUUAAAGAAAUUAUUAACAUGGGAUAAUCUUUGUUUAAGAAAUGGAGUGCCAACUUCUGUGCAUACAACGUGACUUUUAAAAAGUUAAAAACAACAGAGGCUGGAGAGGUUACAUGCCACACAUAUAACAGACAAGAUUGGAUCCAGAAUAUAUAAAAAAUGUGGACAAAAAAUAUGAACAGGUAAUUCACAAAAGAGAAAAUAUAAAUGAUCAACAAACACAUGAUGUUCAAAUCACC